Molecule: non-coding RNA, 104 nt
Organism: Trametes maxima
Lineage: Eukaryota; Fungi; Basidiomycota; Agaricomycetes; Polyporales; Polyporaceae
Source: the annotation of a GenBank genome assembly
UCCCGCUUAGCUCAGUUGGUAGAGCGCAUCACUAGUAUUAUCUCCUGAUACAAAAAAUUUAAUCGGUUAUGAUGAGGUCCAUCGUUCGAGUCGGUUAGUGGGAA